Molecule: ribosomal RNA, 472 nt
Filed under: uncultured bacterium
Lineage: Bacteria
Description: bacterial SSU rRNA
Rfam family: Bacterial small subunit ribosomal RNA
Source: RNAcentral
ACUCCUACGGGAGGCAGCAGUGGGGAAUAUUGCACAAUGGGGGAAACCCUGAUGCAGCCAUGCCGCGUGUGUGAAGAAGGCCUUCGGGUUGUAAAGCACUUUCAGUAGGGAGGAAGGUAGUGUAGUUAACACCUGCAUUAUUUGACGUUACCUACAAAGAAGACACCGGCUAACUCCGUGCCAGCAGCCGCGGUAAUACGGAGGGUGCGAGCGUUAAUCGGAAUUACUGGGCGUAAAGCGCAUGCAGGCGGCCUGUUAAGUCAGAUGUGAAAGCCCGGGGCUUAACCUCGGAAUUGCAUUUGAAACUGGCAGGCUAGAGUCUUGUAGAGGGGGGUAGAAUUUCAGGGUGUAGCGGUGAAAUGCGUAGAGAUCUGAAGGAAUACCAGUGGCGAAGGCGGCCCCCUGGACAAAGACUGACGCUCAGAUGCGAAAGCGUGGGGAGCAAACAGGAUUAGAUACCCUGGUAGGAUAG